CUCAAAACAGAAACGGUCCCCUAACUUUAAAUUCCUUUCCUAUUUUACAGUCCACACUGCAGAGUCUUUCCUUAAUCGAUAUAAGACAGGCAUGGUAAUAAGCAAUUGUGUUCAACUUCAAUAUGUGGUAUGGCUUCCAUUAUCAUCGUCAAAGAUAAAGAAGAGGAAGCCUUUCGCACUCUCAGCCACUGCCAAAACUGAGCAAAUCAGGGUUUGCACAAACCGCACAUGCCGCAAGCAAGGUUCCAUGCAGACGCUAGAAAUCAUGAUGGCUCUCUCUCCUCCCGAUCUUCCCGUCAACUCAUGCGGCUGCUUGGGCCGAUGUGGUGCUGGCCCCAACGUCGCCCUUCUCCCUCAAGGGAUCAUCGUCGGCCAUUGUGGCACCGCCGCUGCAGCCGCUCGCAUUAUGGCUCGACAUAAUGAUGACGAAGUUGAUGAUGCCAUAAUCCGCAAUUCUUUGGAUGCUUUUGCUCUCAGAAAGAGAGCCCGGGUUGAAUUUGAUCAGGGCAAUUUCUCCCAGGCCGACCUCCUCCUUUCGCAGGCUAUACAUCUUAAACCAUUCGGUGGUCUCCAUAUUAUUUAUAAAAGCAGGUCCCAAGUAAGAUUGUUGAUGGAAAACUAUUUGGAGGCUCUCCAAGAUGCCCAAGAAGCUUUGAAUCUGGCUCCUCAAUAUACUGAGGCAUAUAUGUGUGAAGGUGAUGCCUUCAUGGCAAUGAAACAAUAUGAUGGAGCUGAGAAGUCAUAUUCAAUGUGUUUACAGAUAGAUCCUACCAUUCGUCGCUCUAAAGCAUUCAAGGUUCGUGUUGCACAAGUUCAGGAGAAACUAAUUGCUGCAAAUAUGCCUUACAACCAGCAGUAGAAAUGAAAUCUUGAACGCAUGUAUUAUGUAGCAAAGAUUAAAUCUUGGCAUUCCUUCUUUUCCAGGUUUGACAUUCUCACUAAAAUAUUUCCGAUUAAUCCAGAGCUUGAGAUGGAACCACUAAUUUUUAUAAGAAAUUCUGAUGAAUGGUAAGAUUUUAUAGUCUCCAUAACUUAUAUAAAUUGAAAGAUAGAUGUUAAGUUUUUAGAAAGAAGGAGAAUAAAAAGAAAAAAGAAGAGAGGAGGAAAGGCUACAAAGACUACAUUUUCAUUAACUUCACUCUUACACCUUUACUUGAUACACUGUCCAUAUUUAUAAUGGAAAGCACAAUACACAUUUCAUAAAUUGGAAAUAAUUCAAACCACCUUGAAUUAUGGGAUUUUCUAAGAAUUAAGGAGAAAUCUCAUCCUAUAAAUUAAGGAGGAAUCUUAUUUCUUAAAUUAAGGAAAAUCUUAUUAGUUCUAACUGCCACUACCAAUCAACAGUCCAACACCAGGAGACCCUGUCGAUAUGAAACUAGCCACCUGAAACAGCUUGAAAAAAAAAUAUGUUUGGGUUGGGUUGGGUUUGGACUCGAAUCGCCUCCAGCCCAUAAUCUAUUGCCAAAGACCUCCUUGGAGACUUGUUGCACAUCGAUUGACAUGUUGUUGCUGACGGAUUGCAAGUCGGAAUAACCUAAUGCCUUCAUGUUCCUGGGUAAGUUAGAUUCAACCAUAAAGCCAAUAACACUCAUGUUGUUGUGUUAUGUGCAUCUUUGCUCCUAAUUCUGCCCCUUACACUCGCCAUAUCAACCACUAUGCCACUUGCCACAUUAGCGACUUACCACGUUAGCAAAUUUUUCGCAGAAUUCUUCCUUGCUAAUUUUGAUAUCCAGAUUUCAAGUUUGACAUCCAUUUUGGGGAGAAACGAAUAUUUAAGGUUAGUCAGAGCAUUGAAUUACAGCUUGGAUCUGAAAUUUGCUUAAUUGCUUCCUUUAACUUACAGAAACACUAUUGUUAUUCAAUUGAUUGUCUUUAAAUUUUUGUUUGCUCACUUUUUGAUAUUUUUCACCCAAACAACCUAGACAUAACACUUAAAUUGAUUGGUAUGAGUCAAACAUAACACUUAAAUUGAUUGGUAUGAGUCAACAAGUUCAUUAUUUGCGUUACUUUUGGUAAUUUCUGUUCACUUGACAUCAUCUAUUGUUCGCCAUGAACAAUAGUAAACACCAUGACUCACACUCAAUAUAGGCAAGACCACUAUUAUGGCACAACUGGUCCUCAUGGUACAGCCCCUAAUAGGAUCCAUGGACAACCUCCUGUACAUGAUUAUGAGAAACAUGUUGAUAUAGGUCAGACUUAAUGCUCCUAAAUAUGAUGGGAAAUUGAAUCCUAGUGCUUUUAUUGAUUGGUUAGAUGGAAUGGAGGAUUAUUGUGAUUUUUACCAUAUGAUUGAUUUAUAGCAUGUUUGCUUUCCUAAAACGAAAUUAACUGGAGCUGCUAAAAGUUAUUGGUAAAGUGUUUAGUAUAAUAUGAAGCAUUUGAAUGAGCCACCUAUUGCUCAAUGGAUAGUCAUGUAACAAAAAUUGAAGGAAAAAAAAUUUGCUAUGAGAGUCAUCUGGUGUACCAAAUGUUAAAUCUUAAGCAAUCGACUUUUGUUGUGACUAUUUACAUGAAUAAAUUUGAUGAACUCUUUGCUUAGUUAUGAUAUGGUAAAGGAACAUUUUAUUACUCUUAAUAUGUUUAUUAAUGGAUGGAGAGCAUAUAUUAAAAGGGAACACAUACUUCAGUCUCUUGAGUUGAUAGAGGAGGCCUAUCAAAAGGCUUUAGAGAUAAAAAGAUAAAACAAAUUUUCCUCUUUUCUUCAAGCAGCUUCACAAGCUGUAGGAUCAAACCUGUCUAAAUCUUUUUCAAAUUCAUAUUCUAAUUCUAUAGCAAUGGUAGAAACAAAGACUUCACUAGUAAGAGUAAAGCAUUUGUCUCUACUAAUUCUCAUUUUGUUGGUGUAUCUAAUGGGUAUCGUGUUAGUAACUCUUCUAUACAACGUUUUCAUUAUCAUGAUAAAGAUCAUAUUGCUUCUCAAUGUCCACGUCAUGCAUUAACUUUACACCAACAUGCAAACAUGAGCUUCAGAGUGAGCAUAGUGAUUCUCUAACUAUGAGGAAGAAGUUGUGGGACUUAUAGAAUAUUUUAAGGAUGAAGGUAAGCUAGAUUUAGAUGAUGAGCAUAUCAAUUUUGUUUGAUGUUUACCUUCUAUUUUGUUUGAUAGGAGUGUUAAGUUUGUUUAUUAUUUUUGGAAGAUAGUUUAGAAAUUGUUUGGCACUACCUUGGAGUUUUCUUCAAUUUUUCACCCACAAACAAGUGGUCAAAUUGAAGUUGUUAAUUAUAGUUUGGGUGAUUUUCUUUGUUGUCUUGUAGGAGUGAAACAAGGUAAUUGAAAUUUGAUUCUUUAUGUUGUUGGGUUUGCUUAUAAUAAUUCUAAUAGUUAUAUUGGUAAAAUCCCUUUUGAGAUAGUUGACCUUGUUCCUCUUCCUCUUGAUAUUGCAUUUCACAGCCUGCUGAAUCUUUUCCCUAGCAUAUUUAUGAUUUGCAUGCUGAGAUUAGGUG
RNAcentral lists this unclassified non-coding RNA (3444 nucleotides) under Hevea brasiliensis (rubber tree). The record is from RNAcentral. Lineage: Eukaryota; Viridiplantae; Streptophyta; Magnoliopsida; Malpighiales; Euphorbiaceae.